AUGGCUCCUCAGACUUUUGGGUAAGAUUGAAUGUAGUAUCUGUUCUUUUCAGUUAAAUAUCUGAUAUGUCCUCUAUCCAAGGACAUUAUAUAAAGUGGAUUUUUGAAGCUGGGAAAUGGAAUGGGAGCUUGCUCCAUCCACUCCACACAUCAACCUGGUAUUGCAGUAUUUCCCAGAAUGGUGCACCAGAA
Phyllostomus discolor (pale spear-nosed bat) is the source of this 191-nucleotide small nuclear RNA. RefSeq annotates it as U2 spliceosomal RNA. The transcript has a single exon. Lineage: Eukaryota; Metazoa; Chordata; Mammalia; Chiroptera; Phyllostomidae. The record is from RefSeq and is a predicted model, not a curated record.